UGUGUAGGCGGAUUAAUAAGUCAGUGGUGAAAUCCUACAGCUUAACUGUAGAACUGCCAUUGAUACUGUUAACCUUGAGUAUAGUUGAGGUAGGCGGAAUGUGUUGUGUAGCGGUGAAAUGCUUAGAUAUAACACAGAACACCAAUUGCGAAGGCAGCUUACUAAACUAUUACUGACGCUGAGGCACGAAAGCGUGGGGAGCGAACAGGAUUAGAUACCCUGGUAGUCC
RNAcentral lists this ribosomal RNA (229 nucleotides) under uncultured bacterium. RNAcentral describes it as "partial 16S ribosomal RNA". It matches the Rfam family "Bacterial small subunit ribosomal RNA", at positions 568 to 796 of the family's 1533-position model. The record is from RNAcentral.